GACGAACGCUGGCGGCGUGCUUAACACAUGCAAGUCGAACGGAAAGGCCCUGCUUUCGUGGGGUUCUCGAGUCGCGAACGGGAGUGAAACAUGUGAGUAACCCGCCCUUGAUUUUGGGAUAACUUCAGAAAUCUGUGGCUAACACCGGAUAGGAGCUCCUGCUGCUGGGGGGGGGUUGGAAAUUUCGGGCGGUUGGGGGUGGACUCGCGGCUUACCAGUUGGUUGGUGGGGUAGUGGCCUACCAAGGGAUGGAUGGCUAGCCGGCCUGGGAGGGCGACCGGCCACAUGGGGACUAAGAUACGGCCCAGACUCCUACGGGGGGCAGAGGGGGGAAGUAUGGCACAGUGGGGGGAAGCCUGUUAAGGCAACGCCGGGUGCGGAAUGACGGCCUUGGGGUUGUAAACCGCUUUCGCCUGUGACGAGGCGUGUGUGACGGUAACGAGAGAAGAAGCACCGGCUAACUACGUG
This 468-nucleotide ribosomal RNA is filed under the name uncultured bacterium. RNAcentral describes it as "partial 16S ribosomal RNA". It matches the Rfam family "Bacterial small subunit ribosomal RNA", at positions 28 to 507 of the family's 1533-position model. The record is from RNAcentral.